This 496-nucleotide ribosomal RNA is filed under the name uncultured microorganism. Its description in RNAcentral is "bacterial SSU rRNA". It matches the Rfam family "Archaeal small subunit ribosomal RNA", at positions 234 to 734 of the family's 1478-position model. The record is from RNAcentral.
UGUUGGGGUAACGGCCCACCAAGCCUUUGAUCGGUACGGGUUGUGGGAGCAAGAGCCCGGAGAUGGAUUCUGAGACAUGAAUCCAGGCCCUACGGGGCGCAGCAGGCGCGAAAACUUUACAAUGCGAGCAAUCGUGAUAAGGAAACCCUGAGUGCCUGUUAUCGCAGGCUGUUCUGGUGUCUAACACACACCAGGAGAAAGGGCGGGGCAAGACCGGUGCCAGCCGCCGCGGUAAUACCGGCUGCUCGAGUGAUAGCCACUUUUACUGGGCUUAAAGCGUUCGUAGCUUGGUCGUUAAGUCUCUGGGGAAAUCUUUUGGCUCAACCAAAAGGCGUCUCAGGGAAACUGGCGACCUAGGAACCGGGAGAGGUAAGACGUACUUCGGGGGUAGGAGUGAAAUCUUGUAAUCCCCGAGGGACGACCGAUGGCGAAGGCAUCUUACCAGAACGGCUUCGACAGUGAGGGACGAAAGCUGGGGGAGCAAACCGGAUUAGAU